This 301-nucleotide ribosomal RNA is filed under the name uncultured bacterium. RNAcentral describes it as "partial 16S ribosomal RNA". It matches the Rfam family "Bacterial small subunit ribosomal RNA", at positions 509 to 807 of the family's 1533-position model. The record is from RNAcentral.
CAGCAGCCGCGGUAAAACGAAGGGGGCUAGCGUUGCUCGGAAUUACUGGGCGUAAAGGGAGCGUAGGCGGACAUUUAAGUCAGGGGUGAAAUCCCAGAGCUCAACUCUGGAACUGCCUUUGAUACUGGGUGUCUUGAGUGUGAUAGAGGUAUGUGGAACUCCGAGUGUAGAGGUGAAAUUCGUAGAUAUUCGGAAGAACACCAGUGGCGAAGGCGACAUACUGGAUCAUUACUGACGCUGAGGCUCGAAAGCGUGGGGAGCAAACAGGAUUAGAUACCCGCGUAGUCCCUGUCUCUUAUAC